RNAcentral lists this ribosomal RNA (116 nucleotides) under Octodon degus (degu). The record is from RNAcentral. Lineage: Eukaryota; Metazoa; Chordata; Mammalia; Rodentia; Octodontidae.
CCUGACGGUUGGCAUACCACCCUGGAAACACCCGAUCUCGUCUGAUCUCAGAAGCUAAUCAGAGUCAGGUUAGAACUUGUCUGGGAACAUUUGUGCUAUUAAAGAACACUUCAGGG